ACGAACGCUGGCGGCGUGCUUAACACAUGCAAGUCGAGCGGUAAGGCCCUUUCGGGGGUACGACGAGCGGCGAACGGGUGAGUAACACGUGGGUGACCUGCCCUCAGCUCUGGGAUAAGCCUGGGAAACCGGGUCUAAUACCGGAUAUGACUCCAUGACGCAUGUUGUGGGGUGGAAAGCCUUGUGCGGCUGAGGAUGGGCCCGCGGCCUAUCAGCUUGUUGGUGGGGUGAUGGCCUACCAAGGCGACGACGGGUAGCCGGCCUGAGAGGGCGACCGGCCACACUGGGACUGAGACACGGCCCAGACUCCUACGGGAGGCAGCAGUGGGGAAUCUUGCGCAAUGGGCGAAAGCCUGACGCAGCGACGCCGCGUGAGGGAUGACGGCCUGGUGU
This 393-nucleotide ribosomal RNA is filed under the name uncultured bacterium. Its description in RNAcentral is "bacterial SSU rRNA". It matches the Rfam family "Bacterial small subunit ribosomal RNA", at positions 29 to 422 of the family's 1533-position model. The record is from RNAcentral.